Helicoverpa armigera (cotton bollworm) is the source of this 1138-nucleotide long non-coding RNA. RefSeq lists it as uncharacterized. Lineage: Eukaryota; Metazoa; Arthropoda; Insecta; Lepidoptera; Noctuidae. The record is from RefSeq and is a predicted model, not a curated record. The transcript is spliced from 2 exons.
AGCGCCUAGCCGUUGCUUCAUAGCAACACGUUUCCGACGGCCUAAUGAAGUAAUUUAAGCAGGCGCAUUAAUGCACCGUAUGUCAUCACUUGCUUGUGAUGCAUUGUACUGUGUGCACCAAAAUUAUAUUUCUCCGUUGUUUGAGUAUUUCUACAGUUCUUUUAUUCCUGCAAGACCUCGUAAUCCUCAACAUGGCCCAUUACGAGCAGGAUAUAUGAAGAUCAGCGCUUAAAAUUGAAGGAAGAAAUAAUUAAGGAUCGUCAAUUAGCCGGGCGUGACAAUUAGCCGGCGUGACUUGCAGGUUUUGUGCAGGACAAUUAUUUGGACUGAUCUCAAGCAAUUUAAUUGCGGUGUAUUGCAUUUAUUGUUAUUAAUAUCAUCACCCAACACUCAGGUAAUAUAAAUAAAAGUAUAUCGUCAAGAAAUAUCACAGGUUGAAUACACUUGUCUCCCAGCAUGUCCGAGGAAAGGGAAUUAGUUAAGAAGCGAGGAAGCUUCAAAGGUCGAUUGACUGCUUUCGUUAACUUUCUGGAUUCACUCAAGGACAGAACCCUAACCAGUUGUGACACGGCUGAGCUGCAGCUGCGCAUAGGCAAGAUGGAGUCGUUGUAUGAGCAGUAUGAUGAGGUACAGUUACGUCUGGAAUGCAUUGUCGAGGACAUUAAAUUACAAUUUUCCGAACGUGCUGAUUUUGAGUCUCUUUAUUAUAAAUCCUUGUCUAGGGCACAGAAUAUUAUCAGUGAAUAUAAUAAAGAUAAUGGGUCGAUGGAAAGCUGUAAAAGUACUCACACGAAUGUGCAUAAGCCAGUUAAGUUGCCAACAAUUCAGUUACCUAAGUUCAGCGGUUUAUAUACGAAUUGGCUGGAAUUCCGUGACACCUUUAGUAGUCUUGUCCAUUGCAAUGAUAGCAUUGACGAUAUUAAUAAAUUCCACUACUUGAGAGCAUCUCUUGAAGGGUCGGCUGCGGUAGUUAUUAAUUCUAUUGAAUGUUCUUCGAGUAAUUAUUCUGUGGCAUGGCAGUUGUUAUGUGAUCGGUUUGAUAACAGAAGAUUACUAAUACAAAAUCAUGUGUCUGCUUUAUUUAAUGUUGAAAGUAUCACAAAGGAGUCUUCUGUUGUAUUAAAGUCUUUAAUUGAUU